RNAcentral lists this ribosomal RNA (198 nucleotides) under uncultured bacterium. RNAcentral describes it as "partial 16S ribosomal RNA". It matches the Rfam family "Bacterial small subunit ribosomal RNA", at positions 328 to 539 of the family's 1533-position model. The record is from RNAcentral.
ACGCUCGACACCUACGGGAGGCAGCAGUGGGGAAUAUUGCACAAUGGGGGAAACCCUGAUGCAGCGACGCCGCGUGAGCGAAGAAGUAUUUCGGUAUAGUAAAGCUCUAUCAGCAGGGAAGAAAAUGACGGUACCUGACUAAGAAGCCCCGGCUAACUACGUGCCACAGCCGCGGUAAUCUGAGCGGGCUGGCAAGGC